RNAcentral lists this ribosomal RNA (551 nucleotides) under uncultured archaeon. RNAcentral describes it as "bacterial SSU rRNA". It matches the Rfam family "Archaeal small subunit ribosomal RNA", at positions 325 to 880 of the family's 1478-position model. The record is from RNAcentral.
ACGGGGCGCAGCAGGCGCGAAACCUUUACAAUGCGGGCAACCGUGAUAAGGGAACCUCGAGUGCCUGUAAACGCAGGCUGUUCAGGUGUUUAAAACGCACCUGGAGAAAGGGCCGGGCAAGACCGGUGCCAGCCGCCGCGGUAAUACCGGCGGCUCGAGUGGUGGCCGCUUUUAUUGGGCUUAAAGCGUUCGUAGCUGGGUUGUUAAGUCUCUUGGGAAAUCUGGCGGCUUAACCGUCAGGCGUCUAAGGGAUACUGGCAAUCUUGGAACCGGGAGAGGUGAGGGGUACUUCGGGGGUAGGGGUGAAAUCCUGUAAUCCUCGAGGGACCACCUGUGGCGAAGGCGCCUCACCAGAACGGCUUCGACAGUGAGGGACGAAAGCUGGGGGAGCAAACCGGAUUAGAUACCCGGGUAGUCCCAGCCGUAAACGAUGCGCGUUAGGUGUAUCGGUGACCACGAGUUACCGAGGUGCCGAAGGGAAACCGUGAAACGCGCCGCCUGGGAAGUACGGUCGCAAGGCUGAAACUUAAAGGAAUUGGCGGGGGAGCACA